This 440-nucleotide ribosomal RNA is filed under the name uncultured Exiguobacterium sp. RNAcentral's name for it is "bacterial SSU rRNA". It matches the Rfam family "Bacterial small subunit ribosomal RNA", at positions 358 to 790 of the family's 1533-position model. Lineage: Bacteria; Bacillati; Bacillota; Bacilli; Caryophanales. The record is from RNAcentral.
GGAAUCUUCCACAAUGGACGAAAGUCUGAUGGAGCAACGCCGCGUGAGUGAUGAAGGUUUUCGGAUCGUAAAACUCUGUUGUAAGGGAAGAACAGGCAUGAGAGGUAAUGCUCAUGCUAUGACGGUACCUUGCGAGAAAGCCACGGCUAACUACGUGCCAGCAGCCGCGGUAAUACGUAGGUGGCAAGCGUUGUCCGGAAUUAUUGGGCGUAAAGCGCGCGCAGGCGGCCUUUUAAGUCUGAUGUGAAAGCCCCCGGCUCAACCGGGGAGGGUCAUUGGAAACUGGAAGGCUUGAGUACAGAAGAGAAGAGUGGAAUUCCAUGUGUAGCGGUGAAAUGCGUAGAGAUGUGGAGGAACACCAGUGGCGAAGGCGACUCUUUGGUCUGUAACUGACGCUGAGGCGCGAAAGCGUGGGGAGCAAACAGGAUUAGAUACCCUGG